Molecule: long non-coding RNA, 410 nt
Filed under: Vigna radiata
Lineage: Eukaryota; Viridiplantae; Streptophyta; Magnoliopsida; Fabales; Fabaceae
Description: long non-coding RNA (VRAD_LNC009978)
Source: RNAcentral
UCUAUAAGUAAAGUAUCCACACAUAAUUAAAAAAACAAGUAAUAAGUAUGUAAAAGAAGUCUUAAUAAUUUACAUAAUCAUCAUUUUUAUUCUCUUCUUCUUGAGGGUCUUUUUGAGGGUGUUGUUCUUAUUGUUGGGAUUGUGACUGAACUAGGGUGGGCUAGACUAGAGUGGGUUGCUAUUGGGAUGGUAUUGGGAUGGACUAAGGUUAUUUAAGACAGAUCUAGGCAUCUGGAGGUAAGAUUUCAUGAGCAAAUUUUGCAAGGAUUCUAACCAGUGACUCAAAUUUUCAUAGGCCUAAUCAUGAUAAAAUCUCUCCAGCAGAAAUGUUCACAUAAGACAAAAACCAAAAGAGAUAGUGAAUUGGAUUCUUGAAUAAAAAUUGUGCCGUUUAAAAUGUUUCCCUUUCC